CCAAGCCCUUCCCUGUCGCUAUUGGACACGAAAUGAGUGCACAGAAGCUUGGGAAUAAAACUGGCUCUUUUUCUCUUUUGAACUCCCCAAGCUUCUGUGCACUCAUUUUGUGUCCAGUAGCGACAGACACCUGUACAGAUCUGCCAGCCCUCAGCAUCUGCUGUCUGAAGAAAGCGUGGAGCAAGGCCCAAACUGGGAGUGAUAAAAAAAGGCAACCAAAACCCCAGCCAGGCAACACCCAUGCUCUAAAAAGGUGGAGCCGAGGAGGGGCCAUGUAAAGCAGUUCCUGGAAAAUCUAAACUAGUUCAUGGAUUUGCAUCAGGAUCUAUGAAGAUGCAACAGGCUGAUGUAAUUAAAAGGAGAGUGAAGGUGUUUUUCACGUGAGAGAAUCAGGAAGCGACGAAAUCUAAAGGAGGAAGCGAGUUGAAGCAGGAAGCUGUUGGUUUUGUGUAAAGCUUCACUGACUCAUCCUCGCUGCGUGCAAUGGGGUCAGAGGGGUCACUGGCCUGGAAUGGGAUCGGGAUGGGGAUUGGGAUCUCCGUGCCCGUCCCCACCACCAGCACUGCAGCUCCUCCUGCACUCCCACUGCCACUCCAGCAGCUGCAGGGAUGGGAGGACUGAGCUGUGCAGAGGGCAGGAUUUUCCAAGGAUUUUCCUUGGUGUGACAGAUGGGCAAUGCCGUGCUUGGCUCUCACAAUUAAAAGGCAAAUAUCA
Long non-coding RNA from Vidua chalybeata, 714 nucleotides. RefSeq lists it as uncharacterized. Lineage: Eukaryota; Metazoa; Chordata; Aves; Passeriformes; Viduidae. The record is from RefSeq and is a predicted model, not a curated record. The transcript has 2 exons.